RNAcentral lists this ribosomal RNA (1316 nucleotides) under Ampittia dioscorides. RNAcentral's name for it is "16S ribosomal RNA". The record is from RNAcentral. Lineage: Eukaryota; Metazoa; Arthropoda; Insecta; Lepidoptera; Hesperiidae.
AAUAAAUAAAUAUUAAAUAUUUAAAUUAUAUAUAUAUAUAUAUAUAUAUAUAUGCUAUUAAAAAAAUUCUUUUAACUAAUUUUUUUUUAAAUAUUUAAACCCACCUGGAUCACCCCGGUUUGGAAUCAGAUCAUGUAAGAUUUUAAUGAUCGAACAGAUCAAAAAAUUUAAACUUCUACAUUUAAAUUUUAUCUUAAUCCAACAUCGAGGUCGCAAACUUUUUUUUUUAUAAGAACUAAAAAAAAAAAUUACGCUGUUAUCCCUAAGGUAAUUUUUUCUUAUAAUCAUAAUUUAUGGAUCAUAUAAUCAUUAAUUAAUGUUUAAAUACAAAAAAAGUUUAUUUAAUUUUUUUAUCACCCCAAUAAAAUAAUUAAAUUAAUUUUUAUUUAAAUUUAAUAAAAAAUUAUAAUUAAAUGAAUAAUAAAACUCUAUAGGGUCUUCUCGUCUUUUAAAUAAAUUUUAGCUUUUUUACUAAAAAAUUAAAUUCUAAUUAUAAAAAAGAGACAGUUUAUAUUUCAUCAAAUCUUUCAUACAAGUCUUCAAUUAAAAGACUAAUGAUUAUGCUACCUUUGUACAGUCAAUUUACUGCAGCCCUUUAAUAAAUCAGUGGGCAGAUUUGACUUUAAAUUAUUUUCAAAAAGACAUGUUUUUGAUAAACAGGUGAAUAUAAUUUUUUGCCGAAUUCCUUUUAAUUAAUUUUUUUAAUUAUUUAUUUUCAUAAAUAAAUAAUUUAUACUAAUUUUAUCAUUAUAUCUAAUUUUAAAAAAUUAUAAAUUAUUUUUUUAUAAAAAAUUAAAUUUUAAUUAAAAAUUUUUUAUAAUAUUAAAAUUUUUUAUAAAAAAAUAUAAUUUAUAAACAAUAUAAAUUUUAAAAAUUUUAAAAAAUAAAUUAUUAAUUAUAAAAUUUUAAUUUAAAGAUUAUCCCUUAAAAUAUUUAAUUUAUUACUAUAGGAAAAAAUUAAUUUUUUCCUAUAGUAAUAAAUUAUAAAUUAAAUUUAUUUCUAAAAAAACUAGAUAUAUUUAAAAACGAUUAACAUUUCAUUUCCAAUUAAUUAUUUAAAAUAUUUAUGAAACAAUAAAUUUUUUAAUUAAUUAUCUCUUUUAAAUUCGAGAUUUUUUUAAAUAAAAAUUUUUUUUAAUAAACUCUGAUACACAAGAUACAAUAAAUUAAAUUUACUAUUAAAUAAAUUUAUUUUCAAAUAUUUCACAAUUCUUAUACAAUAAAUUUUAUAAUUUUUUUUUUAUAUAUUACUUAACCCUCAUUAAAUAUUUUCAAAUAAAAUUAAUUUUAUUAUUUAUUUUUAUUAAUUAAUUUUC